Molecule: ribosomal RNA, 407 nt
Filed under: Paracoccidioides brasiliensis
Lineage: Eukaryota; Fungi; Ascomycota; Eurotiomycetes; Onygenales; Ajellomycetaceae
Description: LSU rRNA
Rfam family: Bacterial large subunit ribosomal RNA
Source: RNAcentral
AAUCGGACAUAGUACGAUAAGGUUGUAUGUCUAAAGGGAAACAGCCCAGAACAAGAGUAAUAAGGUUCCUAAAUUAUUAUUAAGUGAAAUAAAGGAUAUAAAUAUAUAAUACAACCAGGAAAUAGGCUUAGAAGCGGUCAUUUUUUAAAGAUCUCGUAAUAGAGCACUGGUUAAUUUAUUCUUUAAUAUAUAGAUACCUAAAAUUUAACGGAUCUAAAUAAUAUACCGAAACCUUGUACAUAUUUAAAUUAAUUUAAAUAUGAGAUAGCGGAACAUUGGAUAAAAUAGUAGAGAUAAAAAUAAAUUAUAUUAUAUUUAAUUAAUCUAAGAAUCCAAGAGAGAAUGCUGACAUGAGUAACGAAAAAGGAUUAUAAAUAAUAUCCUCGCCUUAAGCUUAUGGUAUUUGA